AUCUUCCACAUCGUGCCCGAGGGCGAGAUUGGCGGCCGGCGGCAGGAUGAAGGCCAAGGCGGGCUCCCGCGCCGGCGACUCCAGGGACACCUUCAGGAAGGAGUACAAGGAGAAGCACCUACGUUCCGCUCCUCAGUGAUUCAAGAUUUUCGUACUGACGUUCAUAGGGAUAGCUGAAUUGUUCCUCAACAUCGCAGGAUAGGGUUGUUCCGUACUGGGAGUACACUUUGAGUGCUUACUUUGUUAACCCAAUUGGGUUAAAAUGAUGUUUGUUUUUGGCAUUGACAUUGACCGUCUAGCAGGAAAUCGCUACUGCUAUGACUAACCAAAUCAUAUCCGGCUGUCUGUGCCUUUUAUCUCUGUUCCUAGCAAGGCCUCCCACUAACUUGACAUAAAUGGUAUUUGUAAUGCAACAUGGGACAUUAGAUUGCUCUUUUCUCUUUUCAGCACAGCAAGUCGAUUCCGUCUGUGGCCUAACAUUUUAAACUUUUCUCAGUUAUUGGGUUCUUUUUACGCUUUGAAGAUGAUAGUGUCGAUUCAGCAAAAGUGGUCAAACAGUGGAAUGUCAAAAUCAUAUCUAUAAGCAAGAAUAAAAGGCAUCAAGCCAGACCGGCUGCUCUG
Triticum dicoccoides is the source of this 621-nucleotide long non-coding RNA. RefSeq lists it as uncharacterized. NCBI's taxonomy places the organism in Eukaryota, Viridiplantae, Streptophyta, Magnoliopsida, Poales, Poaceae. The transcript has 3 exons. The record is from RefSeq and is a predicted model, not a curated record.